AGUGAACGCUGGCGGUAGGCCUAACACAUGCAAGUCGAACGGCAGCACAGUAAGAGCUUGCUCUUACGGGUGGCGAGUGGCGGACGGGUGAGGAAUACAUCGGACUCUACUUUUUCGUGGGGGUUAACGUAGGGAAACUUACGCUAAUACCGCAUACGCCCUACGGGUGAAAGCAGGGGAUCUUCGGACCUUGCGCGAUUGAAUGAGCCGAUGUCGGAUUAGCUAGUUGGCGGGGUACAGGCCCACCAAGGCGACGAUCCGUAGCUGGUCUGAGAGGCUGAUAAGCCACACUGGAACGGAGACGCGGUCCAGACUCCUGCGGGAGGCAGCAGUGUGGAAUAUGGGACAAUGGGCGCAAGCCUGGUCCAGCCAUACCGCGUGGGUGAAGAAGGCCUUCGGGUUGUAAAGCCCUUUUGUUGGGAAAGAAAAGCAGCAGGUUAAUACCCCGCUGUUCUGACGGUACCCAAAGAAUAAGCACCGGCUAACUUCGUG
Molecule: ribosomal RNA, 492 nt
Filed under: uncultured bacterium
Lineage: Bacteria
Description: partial 16S ribosomal RNA
Rfam family: Bacterial small subunit ribosomal RNA
Source: RNAcentral